Molecule: ribosomal RNA, 510 nt
Filed under: Auricularia polytricha
Lineage: Eukaryota; Fungi; Basidiomycota; Agaricomycetes; Auriculariales; Auriculariaceae
Description: eukaryotic LSU rRNA
Rfam family: 5.8S ribosomal RNA (bases 172-325)
Source: RNAcentral
CAUUAAAGAUUUUGGGCUUUUAACCCGAUCGUUCAGCUGUGCGCCUUUUACCGGGCUGCACGCUGAAGCAAGACCCCACACCUGUGCACCUUUUCGGUUGCGGCUUCGGUCGCUGCCGCUUUCAAAUGCAACAACUCAGUCUCGAAUGUUAACAAAACCAUAAAAAGUAACAACUUUCAACAACGGAUCUCUUGGCUCUCGCAUCGAUGAAGAACGCAGCGAAAUGCGAUAAGUAAUGUGAAUUGCAGAAUUCAGUGAAUCAUCGAAUCUUUGAACGCAUCUUGCGCUCCUUGGUAUUCCAUGGAGCAUGCCUGUUUGAGUGUCACGUAAACCCUCACCCCUGCGAUGUAACAGUCGCUCGCGGUGGACUUGGACAGUGCCGUAACCGGCUCGUCUUGAAAUGCAUUAGCUGGCGCUUUUAGAGUGCUGGGCGACGGUGUGAUAAUUAUCUGCGCCAAUGCCUUAGGCCUCUUCAGCGGUGCUGCUUACAGCCGUCCCUCUGCGGACACA